Molecule: unclassified non-coding RNA, 240 nt
Filed under: soil metagenome
Description: partial contains 5.8S ribosomal RNA, internal transcribed spacer 2, and large subunit ribosomal RNA
Source: RNAcentral
AACCUAGCACACCUGCGGUGUGUACCUGCGGAGGGAUCAUUAGAGAGAAACUUGCCCUACGGGGUAGAUUUCCCCACCCUUUGUUUACCGUACCUUGUUGCUUUGGCAGGCCGGUCUUCGGAUCACUGGCUUUCAGCUGGUCUGCGCCUGCCAGAGGACCCCAAAUUCUUGAUUUUGUGUUGUCUGAGCGUUAAUUUAAUGAUAAAAACUUUUAACAACGGAUCUCAGAUCGGAAGAGCA